This is a long non-coding RNA of Columba livia (rock pigeon), 7336 nucleotides long. RefSeq lists it as uncharacterized. Lineage: Eukaryota; Metazoa; Chordata; Aves; Columbiformes; Columbidae. The record is from RefSeq and is a predicted model, not a curated record. The transcript is spliced from 4 exons.
GUUUUACAGCCCCACGGGGAAGGAAUAACCACACUGAGAGUUAAUGAAAAUGUAGACUGCUGAAAUGAGGAAAAUGGUUUCUCAAACCGCCACAGAACAGGAUAUUCACAAAGCUGAGGAGCACCAGCAGUCUUGCUGCAGUGGACAUCCUCAGCUCCACUCCCACAGAAGCUUCUGAGUGUUUUGCCUUUGUCUCAUUAAUUUGCAGAGAGCAGAAACAGCACAAAAGAGCUGCUCCAACAAAUUUCUGACAACAUCAUGCAAAAUUUUAAAGAAAAAUCAGAAAUUAUCAAUACAGGCAUUCCUGGGUUUUUCAUCCUCAGAUUCAUCAGGGUUCUUUUUUUAGGGCAAUACAGAAUACAAAGAAUAAGAAAUGAAAUCUUAAGAUGUGAACAUAAGAAAGAACAAGAAUCUCUGCAAAAAGAUCAGCAUCAGGAAGUUAAGAUUAAGUUUAUGUGCCUGGUCAGCAAAACUGAGGUCAGAAAGAUACACUUGGACUUUCAGCACAAUAUUUUUAUUAACUGUGAGCAGUGUCAAAUUGGCAAGAAAAUUGGCAGAAAGCUUUUGGUCCCUCUCGUCCUCAGUUUUGGGUCCCUCACACCAAGAAAAGGCCUUGAGGUGCUGGAGUGAGUUGGGAGAAGGGAACGGAGCUGGUGAGGGGCUGGAGCACAAGUGUGAUGGGAGCGGCUGAAAGACCUGGGGGGUUCAGCUGGAGAACAGGAGCUGAGGGGAGACCUUCUGAUCUCUGAACUGCCUGAAAGGAGCUUGGAGGCAGGGGGGGGUUGGGCUCUGCUCCCCAGGAACAAGCGCCAGGAGCAGAGGAAACGGCCUCAAGUUGCGCCAGGGGAGGUUGAGGUUGGAUCUGGAGAACAAUUUCUUCCCCAAAGGGCUGUGGGGCAUUGGAACAGGCUGCCCAGGGCAGUGCUGGAGUCACCAGCCCUGGAGAGUUGGACAGACGGACAUGAGGUUCUCAGGACAUGGGGCAGUGCCAGGGCUGGGGGAAUGGUUGGACUUGGUCAUCUUAAAGGUCUUUUCCAAACAAAAUGAUUCUAUGGUUCUGUGAAGAUGACUGUAAGCAUCUAGAGCUGAAGCAGCCCGGAGGCUGCGGAGGAGGGUUCCUGUCCCCGGCUCUGAGCAGCGACAAGGACUCCGACUGGAAGACUGCAAAGUGCCAGGAGAUCCCUCACUCCCCUCCUGGGGGCUGGCUUGGGGAGCCAGGAGUUCUGUCCUGCUCUGUAGAGUUUAUUUUAGAAGAACCAAACGUUAGCAGAAUUUUGAAGCUACGUUAUUGGUAGUGUUGUGUACACAGCUGAAAUACAGGCGAUGAAUUUAGAGCAGACAAUUAAAAGGAUGUAUGAUAACAAGUAAUCAUGAAUGUAUGCAGUUAAAGUUUAUGAAGGAAUUAUUUUACACCUGUCUGAAUGAAAUAGUGCAGAUAAUUGUACACUUAAAAAAGCAAAAAAUGAAUAUAAGCUUAGAGCAUAAUAGGAUCCAAUUUUUUUCUAGCUGUUGAAUUUCAGUGGCUUUGUUAAGGUGUGCAGGGCAGCGCCCCUGGGCUGGGGGGUAUCAUUAAUUAGCUUACUUUGCAUGUGGCGCAGGAUAGAAGCUGUUAGCACUCAGAAUUAAAUUCUGAAGAGCAUGUGCAAAGCAACCAAAUGGUGGACAAAAUGUGCGCUUCAACUCAGGGGAGAAAAUUACCUUGUACCACGCGCUAUCUACACCAGAUUUAGCCUCUAUUUUUCCCAUAUGUGUGCUUGCAUCCUGCACUUUGUCACGUGCAGGUUUGGCUAGAAGGUGAGUUCUGCCCAGCCUCAUGCUUUGUGUCCUGGGACAGGCAGGGUGGGAGUAACUGUGCAAAACCACAGGUUGGGUUUAAAACUUCGGUCUCGCAAUGUUUGAUUCUCUGGGUGUGUUGUCUGUCGUGAAGCAAAUUACCCAAAUUACAAAGAGGGUGUGACACAGCACAAUGAGGAAAGAGGCACAUACUUUUGAUUGGCUUUUAACAUAAAGAGUAUGGGAAGUAGUGCUGAAAGCGGGCCCCUAAACCUGUGCUGGGAAAUUUGUAAUCAGAAAUGGCAUAGUUUAUACUCUUCUGUAUUUCUAAUCGUAUUGUUGUCUGAUCUCAUCUAAAGCCUGAAGGCUUCUUGCUGGGUGAAAAUUGCAUGUGGAAAUAGAAUCUAGAUAAGUUGCCUGUCAUCUCAGUAUCAAAGCACUUGAGUCCAGGAUGAAAAUGUCAGGUUUUUAUUUUAGAAAAAGAAAGGCUUUUCCUCCUGUGGGAUUCUGUGAACAACAUGAAUCAAGAUGUCUGAAACCGCUGGACUGCAGAAAGUCAGACAGAGUCAAUUAUGUUUCAAAACCAUGACCAUGGCAAGGUGUAACUAAUCAACUAAUCAUGACAAAUUGUUUUCUUACCGGUAUAUAUUUGAUAGUCAUUUCUUGCUGUGUUCAUCUCAAAAACAAGAAGCAUAAAAUACCUGCAAACACUGUUCUCCAACAGUAUUUUUGCAUUUGUCUGGAGAAAGUUGGCGAUAACUGGUUCCAACCAUUUCUGCCACAUCUCCUGGCUUUCUGGAAAAGCUGCUCUAAAACGGCACCAAAUUGAAAGUGCCUUGUUGCAGAGAUUUUUAAUUUAGAAAUAAUAUAUCUUAGAUUUGCUUUACUCAAAUUAUUCAACAUCAUGAUUUGGAGUAUUCCAAACAGCAAUGAGAAAACUCUUUGAGACUCCUUAAUUGCACAGCUGAAGUGGAACCCUGGUGCAGCACACAUCCUCAGGCAAAAUGUUUAGACUACUUACCUCUCUGAUUAGUCUUUAGUUUCAAGGAAAAGAUAAAAGCAUCUAAUAGCAGUUGUUUUGGGGUUGUCUUCGAGGAUUGAUGGAGAGAGUGCUGACAGGUAGGUGAAACAUCGGACCGAUAAGUAAAAGAUAGCAGUGCAGAACCUGGCUGGGGCCAAAGCUACUGUAUGAGGAAAGGCAGGUAUCUAUAAAGUACAUAAGAUGUAGAGGCUGAUAAGUUGAGAGGAUAGUGUGAAAAGUGUGCUCUGUAAGCCAAAUGAAAACAUAUGGCUUAAGCUUUUGUUGUGUGUACUGCAGUUAUCACUGGAAAAGUUAUCUGAAUGUUUUCCUCCCAUAGCAAGAACCAAAAAUACCCCUUUCAUACCAAAAUUAACAGAAUCAAGAAAAAUACAGAAUCUCCAGGAGUCCUUUUGCAGCCCAGUCCCCUGGGAGAGAAAGGGUGAGACACUCCUGACAUUCAGCAGAGGAAUCCUAGUUAUUUCUGUUCUUUGCCAAGGCCAAAUCAGUCUCUUGAGAGAAUGUUGCUGGACUGGUAACAUUCAGCAUCAAGGAACUUGUGUUCAGAAAGCCACUGGCUCCCAGAGGGUGGUGGCUGUGGGCUGACUUCAGGGGUCAAUGCCCACAGCCUUCUUCUCCUCCACCAGCCUCCAAUGCACCAGGAGGACCCUUUCUCUGAAGUUAUUUUGUCCUAAUCAGAGAAAAAUUACUUGUAUCUUUAUUAGGCAAUGAAGAAAUCUCCUCUCUCACCCAGGUGCAUGAAUUGUUAAAACAGUUGGAGCAGGUUCAUGUGUCUUCUCACAGUUCAUGUGCUGGAAUUUUUCUAAGCAAUUUUGACUCCUCUGCAAUGAGAUACCAUAAUGCAUGAAUGAGGAUGACCGCAGUGGUUGCUAAUGAAAGCAGGUUAAUGUAUAGAGUAUAUUAUAUUUAUUUUAUUGCUCCUAUAACAUUGGGGCCACCGAGUCAGCAGAAAAGCCCAAGGAAGUUUUCCUACCCAUCGUAAGGCUGCUCCAUCUCCUGUCCAGCCUCCUGUGGGACUCUGUGCCAAGGGAUCCACUUCCAGCUUCGCACCCUCAGAGCACCCAGCUGCUCCGGAGCAAACACGGAUGGCACCGGUGACAUUGGACACCUUCAGUCCGUGGCAUGGGCUACUGCAGUUCUGUUCAAAUGAGGAAACAGAGUUAUUCUGUGGCGUUACAGGCUAAUUUCUCAUUGCAGACAGUAACUGAGUAAAUUGAGAGUAAUGCUCUUUAAAGCACCUGGAACUCAGCCUUGUGGCCUCCUGAUGAGGGAUAUAUUAAAGUAAAUACUGUAUUACAAAGACACUGACAGCAGACCACCUCGGCUGCUUUUGCAUAACUGUGUUUUCACUUCACUAAUAUGUUUUUACAGUAAAUAAGUAAGAAAGGGAUCCUAAAAGGGCUCAGAUAUUCCUUCUGUGUGCUGCUCUGUGGAGUAUUUGCUAGCAGUCUGCCUCCUGGCUUAGCCUUGUAGUUAGAGGUUUCUCAUAGCUAUUAAAGGAGAUUAAACCCAAGCAAAGAGCAAAUUGCACCAUUUUCUGGUAUUUCUUCCCAUACAAGCAACUGUUAGACAAGACUGGCUUGGCAAGGAGCUGUCCCAAAUCCCACUGCCCCCCUGUUCCUCUGAGACCACACAAAUGCUCAGAGUGCUAGGAGCAAGCUGCUUUCCCUUUGGGAUCUGGGCUAUUUGGCCUUCGCACACUCUGCAACUCUUAGUGCCCCACAUCCUUGACUGUUGCUGGGAGCCACAGAACCCAGUGAAGGCUGCACAUCCAUUCUGAGCUCCAGACGUCCACCUUCCAGUUGUUGAGUAGCAGCCACAUCUAUUUAACAGCUGUGGGUGAGGCACCAUCCCCUCUUCCUCAGGCUGUGUAAUUUCUCCACUCUGUCCCUAAACAUCUCUUUCUGCCGGUAUCCCUGCUCACAGCGGAGGAUUGGUACAUACUACUUUUCUUUAUGGUGUUUUUUUCAGGUUGCCAGGGAGACGGUCAUCUGUCUGCACUUUACAAUCCAGGCAUUUGGGCCUGAUUCCUCCAAGAAAUAGUCAGAGUUCCUGUUGUGAAAGGUGCUCUUGCUGGCCAUAAAGAAUGCUGGAAAAUGUGGUGCUGCAGGUGGACGAGUGACGAUGCUGGUCUGGCAACAUCCUGAAGCAUCCACAGCUUUACAAACACAGUUCUUCCCUCCUUCCAUCCCUGGCUUGAGUGUAGGUGCCAUCCUAACAGUUCCUGGCUGAUGUGAUUACGAUCCAGCAUCCUGAGGUGCCUGAUGGUUGCAGCUUCAGCACGUCCCUCCUGCUGCUGCCACGCUCUCCAUCCGCCCAUUCAGUCAACGGAGGAAUUGCAGGAAUUUUGGGAAUGUGUAGAUGAAUCUGGUGAAGAUGUCCCUGCUCAUGGCAGGGGUGGCACCGGGGGAGCUUCAAAGAUUCCUUCCAAGCCAGACUAUUCUGUCAUUCUAUGAUUCUAUAUUGUUUUUAGCUCAAGUUAAUGCCAUCGCAGACGUACUUCUGACUGUUGAUCACAGCGGUGUGUUCAGAGCCACUGGAACCCACCAGACAAACACAUUCCUCAUGCCUCAGCGCUGGCUCUCACCCUUGUUUGUAAAAUGAACCUGGUCCCUUGAACACUCACAGCAUAAGGGAGGUUUUUGUGCUGAGGUUACAUGCUCUCACCGCUUCUUCAGUUCGUGAGAAAGAAUAGGAUCAAAGAGCCAAGUACAACCAAUUGCACAAAGACAAGAUCAGCAGAUGUUCUUAUUAAACUUAGAAGAACUUAUGCCUCAUCUUUUAUGUUAGAAAGAAUAAUGGCAUUGUCAUUAUGUCUUAUAUCUGCCUAUUUUGCUGCUAAAAAAAAAAGAAGAAAAAGUGCAAAGGCUCCACACAAACAUUAACAUUUUCGAAAGUCCCAACUGUGCCAUGAAGUGCCACAUUUGACUCAUUGAUUUGGUCUAUUUUGCUCUGUUCCUUAUUCUGCUCUAAUCUUUACUUUGCUCCAUCCAUCUAUUUUAUUUUCAUUAUAAAGGUGCUGCAGGGAUCAUAGCAGAAAAUGGCACAAGAAGAGGCAGAGAGGUUUUAAAAAAUACCGAUGAGCUGUUUGAACUCUUGCAAUCCUCGUGGCCACACAGAAGCAUUGGGAUAUUAAUUGGGUGGUUCAUUUGAGUUUAUUGCAGGCUCAAAGCCAUGAUUUCCUGGCAAAUAAAAGCAGAUAAAUAAUUAAAUACAAACUUUUGAAUUACGCAGUAAUUCUAAAGCAACUAUUAAUCCUUGGUCAGAUUUGGGGUGGGAAAGGUGAUAGCCUGCGCGUCUGAAAAGUAAACGUCACCUUCAUGAAUUGGCAUGGGGAGGUGAUGCUCCAUGUCAAUGAUACAGAGAUGCAGACGACCUGUGUGCUGUCGGUGCUGAGUCAGCUGCCCUGCAGGGAGGCCUGAACACAAGGAGCUGGGACACGGCUGCUCCUUGGGCAGGGGAGCGGGGAUCACACCUCAUAAACCCACACAGCAAUGGAGAUACUGCCCAUUCACUUCUUUGCAGCACCCUUACAUUCAUUUAUUCAAAGGAACCUGAAGGGUGGUGUUAUGGCAUAUUGCUAUAGGUUGUAUAAUCUCCUAUUAAUAGGAAUUAAAAACACAGACCAUUUUUUGAGUUUGUCAUACAUGUCGGAACAAUAUAUUGUACCAGUGGAGGGCAAACAAAGACACAUGGAGCUGAUCCCCUCCUGAGGUGGGGGAUGCACAUCUUGCCCCCCGCUUGCUGCCUGGCUUGCUGUACCUGCGGCAGGACUUUGCCAACAGCAUCCAUCACUGAGACAUACAGAGAUGCUUUUUUUAUGCAUUUGCCAUAAGUUUAUAUUAACUCGAUGACUUGAACUAUUGUACCUAUAAACAAAUAGUGAGAACAGAAUACAGAUGACCUAACUGAGAAUGUAUUGUGAAACUGGGUUUUAAGAUUAUUAUUAUUGUUGUUAUCUUAAAGGAAACACAAUUAUUAUAUAAGGCUGCAUGAGGGCCAGUAGCACGUGCAGUGCUGAGAGCACACCCUCGGUGCAACUGAAAGUAGCUCUCCAGAGGUGUUUGACCUGUUUUUAAUCAAGUUAUAGGUUAUAUAAAAAACAAGUUAAUAGAAAACUGGAGGCCAACAUAAAUGUUUCCACAGUCCCCUGCAAACAUUUAUUUUAAACAAAUAAAAAAUUUCUCAGUAUCUGAGAACCUGGAAGUCAAGCUGUUAACACGGAGAACUGGACUUCCUAACUCAGAACUAACAUAUACAGAAAGAAAAGAAUGGCUGUUAUUAGGAGAAAAUGGUUAUUUUUCUCCCUUUUAAAAAUAACACUAGCUAUUAACUCGGACAAGCUGUCCUGCUCUGUGUUAGCUGGUGGCUGACUGUUCCUGACAUCAGUCAGCAGAGCAGUGAGGGGAGUCACAGACAGAACAGUGUUAAUCUGCUCGUCAAGUGGAAAUACCCAUCUGUGCUUCGGGGGCGAAGUGUGGCUCAGUCAGCUUCUCGUGCAGAGAGAAUUUCAUAGAACCAUAG